UACAGAGGGUGCGAGCGUUAAUCGGAAUUACUGGGCGUAAAGCGUGCGUAGACGGUUAUUUAAGUCGGGUGUGAAAGCCCCGGGCUCAACCUGGGAAUUGCAUUCGAGACUGAAUAGCUAGGGUACGGUAGAGGGAAGUGGAAUUUCCGGUGUAGCGGUGAAAUGCGUAGAUAUCGGAAGGAACAUCAGUGGCGAAGGCGAGUCUCUGGACGACUCCUGACACUGAGGCACGAAAGCCAGGGGAGCAAACAGG
This 253-nucleotide ribosomal RNA is filed under the name uncultured bacterium. RNAcentral's name for it is "partial 16S ribosomal RNA". It matches the Rfam family "Bacterial small subunit ribosomal RNA", at positions 524 to 776 of the family's 1533-position model. The record is from RNAcentral.